Molecule: ribosomal RNA, 436 nt
Filed under: uncultured bacterium
Lineage: Bacteria
Description: bacterial SSU rRNA
Rfam family: Bacterial small subunit ribosomal RNA
Source: RNAcentral
CAGUGAGGAAUCUUGCGCAAUGGGGGCAACCCUGACGCAGCAACGCCGCGUGAGUGAUGAAGGCCUUCGGGUCGUAAAGCUCUGUCAGGCGGAAAGAAAGUUUUCAGGGUAAACAAUCCUGGAGAUUGACGGUACCGCCAAAGGAAGCACCGGCUAACUCCGUGCCAGCAGCCGCGGUAAUACGGAGGGUGCUAGCGUUGUUCGGAAUUAUUGGGCGUAAAGAGCGUGUAGGCGGCCUCGUAAGUCAGAUGUGAAAUCCCUUGGCUUAACCAAGGAAGGGCAUUUGAAACUGCUUGGCUUGAGUACGGGAGGGGGAAGCGGAAUUCCCGGUGUAGAGGUGAAAUUCGUAGAUAUCGGGAGGAACACCGGUGGCGAAGGCGGCUUCCUGGACCGAUACUGACGCUGAGACGCGAAAGCGUGGGGAGCAAACAGGAUU